This is a long non-coding RNA of Raphanus sativus (radish), 1739 nucleotides long. RefSeq lists it as uncharacterized. NCBI's taxonomy places the organism in Eukaryota, Viridiplantae, Streptophyta, Magnoliopsida, Brassicales, Brassicaceae. The record is from RefSeq and is a predicted model, not a curated record. The transcript is spliced from 4 exons.
GCCACUCUUUUCUCUCUUUUUAGAGUGUCCACAUCAGCAUCUUUUUAAUGUUUGUGGGCCCCACGUUUUUGUCUGUUUGAUCUGAUAAUUAAGUUUUCUCGUGUGGUUUAGAGUUGGUUUGAUGAUUUAGCCGUCUGAUUUUGGUACACGCGUUCGUUUGUUUAUUUAGCCGGUAUAGGAAAGUCUGGUCACUUAACAAAACACUGCGUUUUGUGUUUGAGGGUUUCAUUGUUAUUUCUUCUACUCUUCAAUCUCGCCGUUUCAGCUAUAAGAUUUCUCUGCAAAUACAAUGUUUUUCCCUGUGAUCUCUUAAUCUUCCAUUUAGUUCAACGUAUUCCUCUUAGUUUCGCCAAUCAAUAUUUUUCUCAUUAAAUUCAAUAACGACCUUUCUGUUUCUUUCACGUUAAACCUAUAAAUUGGAGAGGGGAGUCGGAUGAACCUUCACCAUCACUCUCAGUUAAACUUCUUAAUCAAGCGCAGAAAUAUUAUUCGAUAAUGUCUUCUGAUGUUGUUGUUGCCCAAUCAGUCGUCGGUGCUUUCCGCCUCCGUAGAUCGUUGCUGCUCGGUUUCUCUAUUUUUGGGACCCGGAAAACAUCAAGAAAAAUGGUGAAUUCAUGGGGAUCACUCUACUUCUCAUCAGACCCAUGAUGAUGAUAUCCUGUUAAGGCUUGGAUCGUCGGUGUUCUCCAGAAAAUGGCUGCCCUUACGUUGCUUGCACCGGUUGCAGCAGGCGAUUGGACAAAUGCGAGACCUCUCUCUGGUACAUCAGGAAGGAAAGUUUCACCAAAAGUCACUGAGGUCAUCAGGUUCUCUGUCGAGUUGGCUAUUGACGAUAGCCGAUGACAGUGCUACGUUUGUGGUGUUCUAGACAGAGAUGACCAAACAAACCAACAAAGAAGCAACCAGACUGGCUCUUGGUGAGACUAAUGGUGGUGACGGGUUCAGAGCUACCAAGAUGCCUAGAAGAACUAGCUGUGGAAGCAAUGUAUGUUCCAAAUUCAUGUCACACCUCACACCUCACACCUCACACCUCACACCUCACAACCACACACCCAACCAUGUCUCUGCAAGCACUGAAGAUGUGGUCCUCAACACUCAUUCAGAGUUUGAUUAGACUAAGCUUUAAUUAAUUGAAGCUGGUUUUCUGUAAAGAGUCGGGCAGUAUCAACUAAGUAAUAAAAGCAUACACUUGCUCUUUUUUUUUAACAAAUCCCACACAUACUCUUUGUAGUUGCAUAAAGUGUAGAGAGAAACAAUUUAUACGACAACUAGAACAAGAAGAAACACUGUCUUUCAACUCUUUAAUUAUGUGUCGCCUUAUGGACCAAACGUUUAAGAUUUUUUUUCAUUUUCAACACUUAUUAUUAGUUGCGCCUUCUAAUUCUAUGCUGAAGGGCUACAAAUAAUAACUUAUUUGAUCGUUAAAAAGACUUUUCAUUAACAUCACAUGUACAAAAUCCACAAAACUUAAACAAUACCUAAACAAAUCUCAACACAAGUGUAAAAUACACAGCGGUAACUGAAACUUUUAACAUCGACUCUUUGCAACAGAACAGCCCCAAACAACAUUACUAAGCCCCUCAUCGUCAUCUACUUAUGGAAAUAAAAGACACUAAAAAUUAAAGUCCCCGCGCUUGCGCGGGGGGCCAGCCCCUAGUUAGAUAAAAGCUGGAGCUGAUUUUUGGACUUUAGAGAACUGAUGGUGAUGAAACGUCAAGCGUAACAAUAUUAAUUUUCUA